RNAcentral lists this ribosomal RNA (163 nucleotides) under Phalaris arundinacea. Its description in RNAcentral is "5.8S ribosomal RNA". It matches the Rfam family "5.8S ribosomal RNA". Rfam says of the family: 5.8S ribosomal RNA (5.8S rRNA) is a component of the large subunit of the eukaryotic ribosome. It is transcribed by RNA polymerase I as part of the 45S precursor that also contains 18S and 28S rRNA. Functionally, it is thought that 5.8S rRNA may be involved in ribosome translocation. Lineage: Eukaryota; Viridiplantae; Streptophyta; Magnoliopsida; Poales; Poaceae. RNAcentral also lists the same sequence under 1 other name. The record is from RNAcentral.
ACACGACUCUCGGCAACGGAUAUCUCGGCUCUCGCAUCGAUGAAGAACGUAGCGAAAUGCGAUACCUGGUGUGAAUUGCAGAAUCCCGCGAACCAUCGAGUCUUUGAACGCAAGUUGCGCCYGAGGCCAUUCGGUYGAGGGCACGCCUGCCUGGGCGUCACGC